CUUCAAUAGGCGGCAAGAGGGAGGAUCAUUACUGUGAUUUAGUACUACACUGCGUGAGCGGAACGAAAACAAAAACACCUAAAAUGUGGAAUAUAGCAUAUAGUCGACAAGAGAAAUCUACGAAAAACAAACAAAACUUUCAACAACGGAUCUCUUGGUUCUCGCAUCGAUGAAGAGCGCAGCGAAAUGCGAUACCUAGUGUGAAUUGCAGCCAUCGUGAAUCAUCGAGUUCUUGAACGCACAUUGCGCCCCUCGGCAUUCCGGGGGGCAUGCCUGUUUGAGCGUCGUUUCCAUCUUGCGCGUGCGCAGAGUUGGGGGAGCGGAGCGGACGACGUGUAAAGAGCGUCGGAGCUGCGACUCGCCUGAAAGGGAGCGAAGCUGGCCGAGCGAACUAGACUUUUUUUCAGGGACGCUUGGCGGCCGAGAGCGAGUGUUGCGAGACAACAAAAAGCUCGACCUCAAAUCAGGUAGGAAUACCCGCUGAACUUAAGCAUAUCAAAA
Molecule: ribosomal RNA, 501 nt
Filed under: Pichia kudriavzevii
Lineage: Eukaryota; Fungi; Ascomycota; Pichiomycetes; Pichiales; Pichiaceae
Description: eukaryotic LSU rRNA
Rfam family: 5.8S ribosomal RNA (bases 135-287)
Source: RNAcentral